GGCUCAGGACGAACGCUGGCGGCGUGCUUAACACAUGCAAGUCGAACGAGGAUAAUGACUCGGUGUAUUCGAGUGGCGGACGGGUGAGUAACGCGUGAGCAAUCUGUCCUUAAGAGGGGGAUACCAACUGGAAACAGUUGCUAAUACCGCAUAAGACCACGGCCUCACAUGGGGCUGAGGUAAAAAGAAGGAAUUCGCUUAAGGGUGAGCUCGCGUCUGAUUAGGCAGUUGGCGGGGUAACGGCCCACCAAACCGACGAUCAGUAGCCGACCUGAGAGGGUGAUCGGCCACAUUGGGACUGAGACACGGCCCAGACUCCUACGGGAGGCAGCAGUGGGGAAUAUUGGGCAACGGGCGACCAAGCCUGACCCAGCAACGCCGCGUGAGGGAAGAAGGUUUUCGGAUUGUAAACCUCUGUCCUGAAGGACGAAGGAAGUGACGGUACUUCAGGAGGAAGCCCCGGCUAACUACGUGCCAGCCGCGGC
Molecule: ribosomal RNA, 485 nt
Filed under: uncultured bacterium
Lineage: Bacteria
Description: bacterial SSU rRNA
Rfam family: Bacterial small subunit ribosomal RNA
Source: RNAcentral